Armigeres subalbatus is the source of this 982-nucleotide long non-coding RNA. RefSeq lists it as uncharacterized. The record is from RefSeq and is a predicted model, not a curated record. The transcript is spliced from 5 exons. NCBI's taxonomy places the organism in Eukaryota, Metazoa, Arthropoda, Insecta, Diptera, Culicidae.
UGUCAAAAUCUGUCAAAAGUGGAUAUAAUGAUUUGGUGUUCACAUGUGGAUUCGUGAUAUGAGGUUGUAACAAGGAAUUUUGAAGAGCGCGCGUAACGAAACCUUAAAUUUAUCUCUUUCUUAAUCCGCGGAUUAUAUUGGCCAAUUGAUCAUUCGAUUGGUUUUGAUCUCGUUAGUAUUCUUAUUUGAAAUUCCUUGUUGAAAGCUCAUUUUCUUCGGCUAUAUUCACAAAGUGAAUAUUCUCAGGGUACAGACAUGCGACAAAAAAAUAUUCUACGGCCGUAUAUAUUCACAAUAUGUACAAUUCAUUGGACGCAUUAUAAUGACAUCCACACACUGGAUUCCCGGGAAUAAUCCGUGGUAUGCCAUUCAUGCUUUCAAGUCAGCGGCAGAAAAUAUGCCUAGCGAUUUUCCCUGCGAGUCAGAAACCUCGUAGGAGCUAGUACCGACUUUCCUGACGAUGGUACACGGCGUAUACUGAGGCCCCAGUUUUGCGUUGAACUGGUCUCCAGCGGACGACUGACGGAAGCUUCGUUUGUAUACGCGUUGACCCACAUCGAACGACGGAAUAGACGUCACGUUGGCAGCUAGCAUCGCCGUUCUGCAGUCUGCCCUGGUGUUUCGGAACAGCACUUCAAAUUUUCUGGCAUCGUCCCACUGCCUGGACAUACUCCGGAAAAUUCUAACCAUGUCCAAGUAGAAAUCUUGAAAUUUCUCUCUUGGACCCUGUCGUCGCGUAUUCGCCAAUCGCUCAUACUGAAAGUCAAUAUCAUCAGCUUUCAACAAACCGCGCAAUGUUCUCUCCCGUUUGGAACGAUUCUCAUCGAGCAUAUUCACAUCACGGAUUUGUAAUUCAUGGUCUAAUUCGUCAUCAGCCAGAUGAGCAGUGAUCAACGCGUAAUACUGCGACUGCAGACGAGAUUGCUCCAUCGCGAAUGCUUUUAGAAAAUUAGAAAAUUAAAAAGAACUACCUAGUGAAACG